CCUACGUGAUGCAGCAGUGAGGAAUAUUGGUCAAUGGACGCAAGUCUGAACCAGCCAUGCCGCGUGCAGGAAGACGGCUCUAUGAGUUUUAAACUGCUUUUGUACGAGGGUAAACGCAGAUACGCGUAUCUGUCUGACAGUAACGUACGAAUAAGGAUCGGCUAACUCCGUGCCAGCAGCCGCGGUACUACGGAGGAUUCAAGCGUUAUCCGGAUUUAUUGGGUUUAAAGGGUGCGUAGGCGGUCGGAUAAGUUAGAGGUGAAAUCCCGAGGCGCAACUUCGGAAUUGCCGCUGAUACUGUGAGGCUAGAGAGUAGUUGCGGUAGGCGGAAUGUAUGGUGUAGCGGUGAAAUGCUUAGAGAUCAUACAGAACACCGAUUGCGAAGGCGGCUUACCAAGCUACGUCUGACGUUGAGGCACGAAAGCGUGGGGAGCAAACAGGAUUAGAUACCCUUGUAGUC
This 460-nucleotide ribosomal RNA is filed under the name uncultured bacterium. Its description in RNAcentral is "partial 16S ribosomal RNA". It matches the Rfam family "Bacterial small subunit ribosomal RNA", at positions 338 to 795 of the family's 1533-position model. The record is from RNAcentral.